UACGAGUGCCCCGAGCGUUAUCCGGAAUCAUUGGGCGUAAAGGGUGUGUAGGUGGUUGUGUUAGUCUUUUGUCAAAACCCGGAGCUUAACUCCGGAUCCGCGAAAGAAACGGCACGACUAGAGGAUGCGAGGGAUGUGUGGAACUCAUGGAGUAGGGGUGAAAUCCGUUGAUAUCAUGGGGAACACCGAAAGCGAAGGCAGCACAUUGGCGCAUUCCUGACACUGAAACACGAAAGCGUGGGUAGCGAAUGGG
RNAcentral lists this ribosomal RNA (253 nucleotides) under uncultured bacterium. Its description in RNAcentral is "partial 16S ribosomal RNA". It matches the Rfam family "Bacterial small subunit ribosomal RNA", at positions 524 to 776 of the family's 1533-position model. The record is from RNAcentral.